GACGAACGCUGGCGGCGUGCUUAACACAUGCAAGUCGAACGGAAAGGCCCUGCUUUUGUGGGGUGCUCGAGUGGCGAACGGGUGAGUAUCACGUGAGUAACCUGCCCUUGACUUUGGGAUAACUUCAGGAAACUGGGGCUAAUACCGGAUAGGAGCUCCUGCUGCAUGGUGGGGGUUGGAAAGUUUCGGCGGUUGGGGAUGGACUCGCGGCUUAUCAGCUUGUUGGUGGGGUAGUGGCUUACCAAGGCUUUGACGGGUAGCCGGCCUGAGAGGGUGACCGGCCACAUUGGGACUGAGAUACGGCCCAGACUUCUACGGGAGGCAGCAGUGGGGAAUAUUGCACAAUGGGCGGAAGCCUGAUGCAGCAACGCCGCGUGCGGGAUGACGGCCUUCGGGUUGUAAACCGCUUUCGCCUGUGACGAAGCGUGAGUGACGGUAAUGGGUAAAGAAGCACCGGCUAACUACGUG
Molecule: ribosomal RNA, 468 nt
Filed under: uncultured bacterium
Lineage: Bacteria
Description: partial 16S ribosomal RNA
Rfam family: Bacterial small subunit ribosomal RNA
Source: RNAcentral